GAUGAACGCUGGCGGCGUGCUUAACACAUGCAAGUCGAACGGGAAAUAUUUCAUUGAGACUUCGGUGGAUUUGAUUUAUUUCUAGUGGCGGACGGGUGAGUAACGCGUGGGUAACCUGCCUUAUACAGGGGGAUAACAGUCAGAAAUGGCUGCUAAUACCGCAUAAGCGCACAGAGCUGCAUGGCUCAGUGUGAAAAACUCCGGUGGUAUAAGAUGGACCCGCGUUGGAUUAGCUAGUUGGUGGGGUAACGGCCCACCAAGGCGACGAUCCAUAGCCGGCCUGAGAGGGUGAACGGCCACAUUGGGACUGAGACACGGCCCAGACUCCUACGGGAGGCAGCAGUGGGGAAUAUUGCACAAUGGGGGAAACCCUGAUGCAGCGACGCCGCGUGAAGGAAGAAGUAUCUCGGUAUGUAAACUUCUAUCAGCAGGGAAGAUAGUGACGGUACCUGACUAAGAAGCCCGGGCUAACUACGUG
This 478-nucleotide ribosomal RNA is filed under the name uncultured bacterium. RNAcentral describes it as "partial 16S ribosomal RNA". It matches the Rfam family "Bacterial small subunit ribosomal RNA", at positions 28 to 507 of the family's 1533-position model. The record is from RNAcentral.